UGUAGGAGGUAUCGACCCCUUCUGUGCCGUCGUUAACACAAUAAGUACCCCGCCUGGGGAGUACGGUCGCAAGACUAAAACUCAAAGGAAUUGACGGGGGCCCGCACAAGCAGCGGAGCAUGUGGUUUAAUUCGAAGCAACGCGAAGAACCUUACCUAGACUUGACAUCUCCUGAAUUACCCUUAACCGGGGAAGCCCUUCGGGGCAGGAAGACAGGUGGUGCAUGGUUGUCGUCAGCUCGUGUCGUGAGAUGUUGGGUUAAGUCCCGCAACGAGCGCAACCCUUAUUUUUAGUUGCUACCAUUUGGUUGAGCACUCUAAAGAGACUGCCCGGGUUAACCGGGAGGAAGGUGGGGAUGACGUCAAAUCAUCAUGCCCCUUAUGUCUAGGGCUACACACGUGCUACAAUGGUGAGAACAAAGAGACGCAAGACCGCGAGGUGGAGCAAAUCUCACAAAACUCAUCCCAGUUCGGAUUGCAGGCUGAAACUCGCCUGCAUGAAGCCGGAGUUGCUAGUAAUCGUGAAUCAGCAUGUCGCGGUGAAUACGUUCCCGGGCCUUGUACACUCCGC
RNAcentral lists this ribosomal RNA (570 nucleotides) under uncultured bacterium. RNAcentral describes it as "bacterial SSU rRNA". It matches the Rfam family "Bacterial small subunit ribosomal RNA", at positions 821 to 1393 of the family's 1533-position model. The record is from RNAcentral.